UCUCUGUACGGGAAGGAUGAGAAGCUUCGACUAAGGUUCGAUUCGAGCGCACCGAGAAAGCGUUGCCGCAGGCAACGACACGAGGGGCGAAGCGCGCAGCCCUGAAUAAUCCUUCCCCCACCACCA
This 126-nucleotide small RNA is filed under the name Salmonella enterica subsp. enterica serovar Muenchen. Its description in RNAcentral is "RtT sRNA". It matches the Rfam family "RtT RNA". Rfam says of the family: This family represents a bacterial cis-regulatory element known as RtT RNA. The exact function of RtT is unknown although it is thought that it may be involved in changing the cellular response in relation to amino acid starvation. The record is from RNAcentral. Lineage: Bacteria; Pseudomonadati; Pseudomonadota; Gammaproteobacteria; Enterobacterales; Enterobacteriaceae.